CUACGGGAGGCUCCAGUAAAGAAUCUUCCGCAAUGGGCGAAAGCCUGACGGAGCGACACCGCGUGAGGGACGACGUCCUAACGGAUGUAAACCUCUUUUGUGUAGGAGCAAAUUUUUGAGUUAACUACACGAAUAAGGACCGGCUAAUCACGUGCCAGCAGCCGCGGUAAUACGUGAGGUCCGAGCGUUAUCCGGAAUCACUGGGCGUAAAGCGUCCGCAGCCGGAAAAGUCAGUCUGGAGUAAAAUUUCGGGGCUCAACCCCGAAAGUGUUCCGGAAACUGCUUUUCUAGAGUUUGACAGGGGCAAGGGGAAUUCCGAUUGUAGGGGUAAAAUCCGUAGAUAAUCGGAGGAACACCAAACGCGAAGGCACCUUGCUGGGUCAAGACUGACGGUCAGGGACGAAAGCGUGGGGAGCGAAGGGGAUUAGAUACCCUUGUAGUC
Molecule: ribosomal RNA, 442 nt
Filed under: uncultured bacterium
Lineage: Bacteria
Description: partial 16S ribosomal RNA
Rfam family: Bacterial small subunit ribosomal RNA
Source: RNAcentral